This is a long non-coding RNA of Mauremys mutica (yellowpond turtle), 327 nucleotides long. RefSeq lists it as uncharacterized. The record is from RefSeq and is a predicted model, not a curated record. The transcript has 3 exons. Lineage: Eukaryota; Metazoa; Chordata; Testudines; Geoemydidae.
GAAAAGCUGUUUUCAUUAGAAGCCUAUAUACCUGCCUUGGGAUCACCUGGUUUGACUCUUGCUUGUGGAUUGGCUGGACCCUUAGGGCUUGCAGAUGGAUACAAUAGAACAGGAAUGCUGAAAAAUCGUAAGAAAGACUCGUCAGGAUUAAAAUGUGAAAGAAAAGAAGCGGGCAGUAUCCAAGCUAUCCCAAAUCUGCCUUCCAGUUCACAAGAAAGACUUCUAACCAAAUUCUGCAGACCUACAAAGAUUUGUUUCUUUCUUAACCAUAACAUUCCCGUUGUGAGAUAAAAGUGAAGCGUGUUCAGUACCUGCUGCUGAGGGAGA